AUACAUGCAAGUCGAGCGAACAGAUAAGGAGCUUGCUCCUUUGACGUUAGCGGCGGACGGGUGAGUAACACGUGGGUAACCUACCUAUAAGACUGGGAUAACUUCGGGAAACCGGAGCUAAUACCGGAUAACAUUUGGAACCGCAUGGUUCUAAAGUGAAAGAUGGUUUUGCUAUCACUUAUAGAUGGACCCGCGCCGUAUUAGCUAGUUGGUAAGGUAACGGCUUACCAAGGCAACGAUACGUAGCCGACCUGAGAGGGUGAUCGGCCACACUGGAACUGAGACACGGUCCAGACUCCUACGGGAGGCAGCAGUAGGGAAUCUUCCGCAAUGGGCGAAAGCCUGACGGAGCAACGCCGCGUGAGUGAUGAAGGGUUUCGGCUCGUAAAACUCUGUUAUUAGGGAAGAACAAAUGUGUAAGUAACUGUGCACAUCUUGACGGUACCUAAUCAGAAAGCCACGGCUAACUACGUGCCAGCAGCCGCGGUAAUACGUAGGUGGCAAGCGUUAUCCGGAAUUAUUGGGCGUAAAGCGCGCGUAGGCGGUUUCUUAAGUCUGAUGUGAAAGCCCACGGCUCAACCGUGGAGGGUCAUUGGAAACUGGGAAACUUGAGUGCAGAAGAGGAAAGUGGAAUUCCAUGUGUAGCGGUGAAAUGCGCAGAGAUAUGGAGGAACACCAGUGGCGAAGGCGACUUUCUGGUCUGUAACUGACGCUGAUGUGCGAAAGCGUGGGGAUCAAACAGGAUUAGAUACCCUGGUAGUCCACGCUGUAAACGAUGAGUGCUAAGUGUUAGGGGGUUUCCGCCCCUUAGUGCUGCAGCUAACGCAUUAAGCACUCCGCCUGGGGAGUACGACCGCAAGGUUGAAACUCAAAGGAAUUGACGGGGACCCGCACAAGCGGUGGAGCAUGUGGUUUAAUUCGAAGCAACGCGAAGAACCUUACCAAAUCUUGACAUCCUUUGAAAACUCUAGAGAUAGAGCCUUCCCCUUCGGGGGACAAAGUGACAGGUGGUGCAUGGUUGUCGUCAGCUCGUGUCGUGAGAUGUUGGGUUAAGUCCCGCAACGAGCGCAACCCUUAAGCUUAGUUGCCAUCAUUAAGUUGGGCACUCUAGGUUGACUGCCGGUGACAAACCGGAGGAAGGUGGGGAUGACGUCAAAUCAUCAUGCCCCUUAUGAUUUGGGCUACACACGUGCUACAAUGGACAAUACAAAGGGCAGCUAAACCGCGAGGUCAUGCAAAUCCCAUAAAGUUGUUCUCAGUUCGGAUUGUAGUCUGCAACUCGACUACAUGAAGCUGGAAUCGCUAGUAAUCGUAGAUCAGCAUGCUACGGUGAAUACGUUCCCGGGUCUUGUACACACCGCCCGUCACACCACGAGAGUUUGUAACACCCGAAGCCGGUGGAGUAACCAUUUAUGGAGCUAGCCGUCGAA
RNAcentral lists this ribosomal RNA (1430 nucleotides) under Staphylococcus saprophyticus. RNAcentral describes it as "bacterial SSU rRNA". It matches the Rfam family "Bacterial small subunit ribosomal RNA". Lineage: Bacteria; Bacillati; Bacillota; Bacilli; Caryophanales; Staphylococcaceae. The record is from RNAcentral.